UACGUAGGGUGCAAGCGUUAAUCGGAAUUACUGGGCGUAAAGCGUGCGCAGGCGGUUAUGUAAGGCCGGUGGGAAAUCCCCGGGCUUAACCUGGGAACUGCAUUUGUGACUGCAUAGCUAGAGUACGGUAGAGGGGGAUGGAAUUCCGCGUGUAGCAGUGAAAUGCGUAGAUAUGCGGAGGAACACCGAUGGCGAAGGCAAUCCCCUGGACCUGUACUGACGCUCAUGCACGAAAGCGUGGGGAGCAAACAGG
This 253-nucleotide ribosomal RNA is filed under the name uncultured bacterium. RNAcentral's name for it is "partial 16S ribosomal RNA". It matches the Rfam family "Bacterial small subunit ribosomal RNA", at positions 524 to 776 of the family's 1533-position model. The record is from RNAcentral.